Molecule: ribosomal RNA, 254 nt
Filed under: uncultured bacterium
Lineage: Bacteria
Description: partial 16S ribosomal RNA
Rfam family: Bacterial small subunit ribosomal RNA
Source: RNAcentral
UACGUAGGGGCCUAGCGUUGUCCGGAAUUAUUGGGCGUAAAGAGCUCGUAGGCGGUUCGGCAAGUCGGAUGUGAAAUCUCCACGCUUAACGUGGAGGGGCCAUUCGAAACUGCUGUGACUCGAGUCCGGUAGGGGAGUGUGCAAUUCCCGGUGUAGUGGUGAAAUGCGUAGAUAUCGGGAGGAACACCAGUGGCGAAGGCGACUACCUGGCCUGUUCUUGACGCUGAGGCGCGAAAGCUAGGGGAGCAAACGGG